UAUUUUUCAAUGUAAUUAGGUUCUGAAUUUUUUUUGCCUGGCCUUUUGGAUUCCCGUCGAAUCCUUACCCCGUGUAUCAGGGAAGAGAAACCUCUUCCUAAACCCACGAUCUCACCAAAAAAACCCAACCAAGAACCUAGAACCUAACUUCAAUUAGGUAUCUCACAUUAGUCUUCUCAUCAUACCAAAAAAACCCUCACCACCGUUACUCAUAUUCCCUUCUCCAUCUUGCUAAUUCUUCUACGUUUGUGGUUUGGUUGGAACUUCCACCGCUACCGCAACCACCGUCUCCACCACCACGUACAACCACCAUCUCCACCACCAGUUCUUCAGCUCUUGUAAUUUUAGGGUGGGAGGUUGGGAACCGACGGCGAGGUCAAGAGAAUCGGGCACUGCUCUUCUUCGAGAAAUCGGACUUGGAGCUCAGGAUGAACGAUCCAUCGAACGGGACGUAUAAACUACGGUUGAGGUACGAAGAAGAUCAUGGGAUGCCUUAGAGUGAGGAUGCAACCAUCAAAUUCACGAUCGUUGUUUAGUAAAGAUAACUAUGUCAUUAGUAAUAAAAGGAUGUAUUAAUUAAAUUCUAAGUUUGAUUUCAUGAUUUGAGUUAGAUUUUAA
Long non-coding RNA from Spinacia oleracea (spinach), 618 nucleotides. RefSeq lists it as uncharacterized. The transcript is spliced from 4 exons. The record is from RefSeq and is a predicted model, not a curated record. NCBI's taxonomy places the organism in Eukaryota, Viridiplantae, Streptophyta, Magnoliopsida, Caryophyllales, Amaranthaceae.